Fukomys damarensis (Damara mole-rat) is the source of this 787-nucleotide long non-coding RNA. RefSeq lists it as uncharacterized. Lineage: Eukaryota; Metazoa; Chordata; Mammalia; Rodentia; Bathyergidae. The record is from RefSeq and is a predicted model, not a curated record. The transcript is spliced from 3 exons.
CGGCCGGGGGCGCUACCUCUCAGAGAAGCUUUUCACCAGCAGCCACACGAUGAGCGGCAAGUUCUCUCGCUCGUUGUAGAUCCCCGUGGUUUCACUGCGCCCACCUGGAUAACCCAAAGACACUUUUCCUUUCUCAAUAUGUGCAACUGAAUCCCACCUGCAAAGUCUCAAUCUACCAUGGACAGUAACACAGUCACAGGCGCCAGAGAUUUGGACGUGAUAUUUUUGGGGGCUGUUACCCUGCUGAUACCCGAGGAUGAGGGUAGGGCAGUAGAAGAAAAGUGAAAAGUAGACAGAAUGGAGAUGCAUCUUGGAGUGUACUGGAUCCCAUUGCUGAUACGAUUAGGAGAUAACAGAGAAACGCCAAUCGAGAGGUGCCAAGCCCAUUCCUUAAAGAGGAUCAUGCAGACUCCUGAGGCCACAAGCGAUCUCCUCCCCAGAGCCAUCCCACUCCACAGUGUGUAUUCUUGUAUUCCUACAGAUGGGGCCAGCCACUCUGCACACUGAACCCCAAAGUAAUGCUCAGACUGCCGACAGUAACCUGAGGGAGUGAUUAAUGGUUCCUAAAAUUGGAGACUAUUAAAAAAACAAAAAUUCUAUACAGCAAGGUACAAAAAUCCUAACUACACCAAUCGAUUAAUUUUCCCAAGUGCACACAGUUCAAUCAUCAACUCCUUCCCAGACCGAAAAACAGAAUGUCAGGGGAUGUGGGAGCCACCCCCUUCUCCUGGGAGGCCCUGUAAGCUCUGAACAUGGGGUUGAAUGAAGGCUGCUAGAACAGAAAUGA